CCUACGGGAGACAGCAGUGAGGAAUAUUGGUCAAUGGGCGCGAGCCUGAACCAGCCAAGUCGCGUGAGGGAAGACGGUCCUAUGGAUUGUAAACCUCUUUUGUCGGGGAGAAAAAGACGCCACGCGUGGAGUUCCGAGAGUACCCGAAGAAAAAGCAUAGGCUAACGCCGUGCCAGCAGACGCGGUAAGACGGCGGAUGCGAGCGUUAUCCGGAUUUAUUGGGUUUACGGGGUGCGCAGGCGGAAGAUCAAGUCAGCGGUAAAAUUGAGAGGCUCACCCUCUUCGAGCCGUUGAAACUGGUUUUCUUGAGUGUGUGAGAGGUAUGCGGAAUUCGUGGUGUAGCGGUGACAUGCAUAGAUAUCACGCAGAACUCCGAUUGCGAAGGCAGCCUACCGGCGCUCACCUGACGCUCAUGCACGAAAGUGUGGGUAUCGAACAGGAUUAGAUACCCUUGUAGUC
This 459-nucleotide ribosomal RNA is filed under the name uncultured bacterium. RNAcentral's name for it is "partial 16S ribosomal RNA". It matches the Rfam family "Bacterial small subunit ribosomal RNA", at positions 338 to 795 of the family's 1533-position model. The record is from RNAcentral.